RNAcentral lists this ribosomal RNA (411 nucleotides) under Triticum aestivum (bread wheat). RNAcentral's name for it is "partial small subunit ribosomal RNA". Lineage: Eukaryota; Viridiplantae; Streptophyta; Magnoliopsida; Poales; Poaceae. The record is from RNAcentral.
AUGGCAUACAAGAAGUUGAGCGACUUGACUACAAGCGGACAGAAUUGGAAUAUUCAAGUGAAAGUAAUGAGAAUGUGGGAUUCAGUGAAUCCUACGACCGAUGAGCUUAUUAGCCUAGAUAUGAUACUGAUGGAUGAGCAGGGUGAAACAAUCCAUGCUACUAUCUGGAAGAAUCUUAUAGACACUUUUAGAUCAAAGAUCAAUGAAAAGUCUAUUUAUGCAUUCAGCAAUUUUAAGGUCGUGGAAUCCACAAAAUAUAGGCCAGUGAGCAAUGAAAUUAAAAUAUAUUUUGCAUACAAUACAAAGGUAAACGAAAUAAAAGGAUCUUCGGAAGUUUUCCCGGAAUAUUGCUUCGAGUUUGCUACCAUGGACACACUAGAAGAAAGGGCGGAAAAAGAUACACAAUGCUCA